UACGUAGGGGGCAAGCGUUGUCCGGAAUCAUUGGGCGUAAAGAGCGUGUAGGCGGUCCAGUAAGUCCGCUGUGAAAGUCAAGGGCUCAACCCUUGAAUGCCGGUGGAUACUGCUGGACUAGAGUCCGGAAGAGGCGAGUGGAAUUCCUGGUGUAGCGGUGAAAUGCGCAGAUAUCAGGAGGAACACCGAUGGCGAAGGCAGCUCGCUGGGACGGUACUGACGCUGAGACGCGAAAGCCAGGGGAGCAAACGGG
This 253-nucleotide ribosomal RNA is filed under the name uncultured bacterium. RNAcentral describes it as "partial 16S ribosomal RNA". It matches the Rfam family "Bacterial small subunit ribosomal RNA", at positions 524 to 776 of the family's 1533-position model. The record is from RNAcentral.